CCGUUCCCAUCCCGAACACGGUAGUUAAGCCCAUAUACGCCGAAAGUACUUGGCUGGAAACGGCCUGGGAGGAUAGGGAGUCGCUGAUU
This 89-nucleotide ribosomal RNA is filed under the name Anaerospora hongkongensis. Lineage: Bacteria; Bacillati; Bacillota; Negativicutes; Selenomonadales; Sporomusaceae. The record is from RNAcentral.